Molecule: ribosomal RNA, 253 nt
Filed under: uncultured bacterium
Lineage: Bacteria
Description: partial 16S ribosomal RNA
Rfam family: Bacterial small subunit ribosomal RNA
Source: RNAcentral
UACGUAGGGGGCAAGCGUUGUCCGGAAUCAUUGGGCGUAAAGCGCGUGUAGGCGGCUUGGUAAGUCCGCUCUGAAAGCCCGGGGCUCAACCCCGGGAGGCGGGUGGAUACUGUCAAGCUCGAGUCCGGAAGAGGCGAGUGGAAUUCCUGGUGUAGCGGUGAAAUGCGCAGAUAUCAGGAGGAACACCAAUGGCGAAGGCAGGUCUCUGGGCCACUACUGACGCUGAGAAGCGAAAGCAUGGGGAGCGAACAGG